CCUACGGGUGGCAGCAGUGGGGAAUAUUGCACAAUGGGGGAAACCCUGAUGCAGCGACGCCGCGUGAAGGAAGAAGUAUUUCGGUAUGUAAACUUCUAUCAGCAGGGAAGAAAAUGACGGUACCUGACUAAGAAGCCCCGGCUAACUACGUGCCAGCAGCCGCGGUAAUACGUAGGGGGCAAGCGUUAUCCGGAUUUACUGGGUGUAAAGGGAGCGUAGGCGGCGAUGCAAGUCAGAAGUGAAAGCCCGGGGCUCAACUCCGGGACUGCUUUUGAAACUGUGUUGCUAGAUUGCAGGAGAGGUAAGUGGAAUUCCUAGUGUAGCGGUGAAAUGCGUAGAUAUUAGGAGGAACACCAGUGGCGAAGGCAGCUUACCAAGCUACUUCUGACGUUGAGGCACGAAAGCGUGGGGAGCAAACAGGAUUAGAUACCCGUGUAGUC
RNAcentral lists this ribosomal RNA (440 nucleotides) under uncultured bacterium. RNAcentral's name for it is "partial 16S ribosomal RNA". It matches the Rfam family "Bacterial small subunit ribosomal RNA", at positions 338 to 795 of the family's 1533-position model. The record is from RNAcentral.